UAGGUCCAACCUGCUUUCGAGCUUCAUAGCUGUGUUAUUUUUUAGUAUAUUAUCACCAGAAUUUCAUGGAACACAGUUUUGGUGUUUUCCCAUGCACAGAAAACUUGCCCAUGUAAUUACAGGUGACUUGGUGGAUUCUCAGCCAUGCAUAAAACUUGGUUGCAGAUUUAAAAGUACCUUGAAUUAUCAUGUUUAUUUUUGCAAACAUAUGGUGCUCUUACAAAUGAAUUCUGAAAUGAGUAAAUGCCAGCAUUCAGCUUUAAGGAAAAUCUUCAACUAAGUCCAAGUGAAUUCCAACCCACUCUUGCAUGAACAAACUAAAUGUUUCACCACAAGUGCUGGAGUUACAUCCAAUCCUGAAACAAUAAGCUAAGCAGAAGAUGGUGUUGGCUAGCAAGAAAUGUAGGGAGGAAAGUUUACCUGUUUCAUUUGGUUAUCACAUUGUACAUUGGUGCAUUAAAGAUUCAGUCGCUAUUAGAACCUCUUUUUCUAAACGUCAACGUGAUAAGAGAAUUUCACCCUAGUAUCGUUAAUUCAACGAAAGGACGUAAAACUACGAUUAUUUACAGUGCCAAGGAGUGCCCUAGAACUGAUGGAAGGAGAGUAAUCUGUUAUCACGCUGAUAGUAUUAUUUUUUUUAAAAUCUGCAUUGGGUCGUCAAAGGGAGGGAUUUUCCUGCCUCUCGGUUGAAUUCCACUGCCUGUUUCCAAAUUUUCCACCUAACUUCGUGCGUUUUGUCAGAACGGAAUGUACUCCACCAGCUAAGAUUUUCGCCUUCCGGCUCCUUUACUUCGACGUUGUGGCAGGUGAUGAAUGGCUUCUAGAACCCUUCUCCACCUUCUGCAUGUCAAAUUUCAGCCUAUAUUAUCUUUCGAUGGCGGUUGGUAAUCUAAUCAGAUUUAUACAUCCGAGCCAUAAUUGGAGGGCUCAGUUAUCAUAGGAGGCGUCUUGAUUCUGGGUUCGAGUGCCGAACGAGUAGGUAUUAUAAUUGCUCUUUUUUCUUCAGUUUCUUUGCAGUGAUUCGGGGAAGAACGAAUAGCAGGCGGCUCUAUGACCAAAUGAUUCAUUUUCAUCAAAGAACGGUUUUCGCUUGGCUUCAUUGGACUUAACUUCCCGUCUUCUUACUCCGUCAGUUGUCAUUAUCGUAGAAUGGAGAAUUCUGCUUAACCCACAAUGUCCUGGAAGAAGUUAGCUAGAAAUAUGUAUCAGCGGAAUUUGAAUGCUUUCUGUAAGUAGAUAAGCAAGAAUAUCUGUACUAAUUUGCAUUUUAUUUUCUUGAUUUAGAGAAAAGAUUAUAUGGAAUUUGAAAACGUUACUGACUGAGACGAAACGGUAAAAAAACACGCUUUGCGAACAGUUAUCGUAAUAAGAUAUUCCAUCACCUAGAAGUGAUGCAUUUCUCAAUUUGAAAAAUUAUAAAUUGGAUUUAAAUGUACAUUUUCGAAUUUCGAUCUCAUUCUUAGAUUAUACAAACUGUACGCCUUUUUGAAAACGGCUUCGGGACCGAUUCUGCCAUGGUUGAUAGAGUAGUCACUCAAGCAGAAAGGAAGGUUCUACUAAAACCAUAUAUAUUUAAAAAAUGAUAUGAAAUUGGUAAACGUUACUGACUGAGACAAAAUAGUCGAAAAAUGAAGACUUUAGAAGGUCGACCGAAAAUUUCACUACUUAUUUAUUUUCUGGCUUUGCGGUAUUUUUACAACAAAUUAUUAAGUGCAUAUCUGGGCUCCCUUCAUUUCUGUGGCCCCGUUUCCCCUUGACUUGUGAUAAGCCCGUAGGGGGUCAUGCCCCUACUGUGAUCAGCAGCAAAGGUUGUGAGUGCGCUGUCCGGAAAGGGGACGUGGGGGUCCUCAAGUUCUAUGAUAUCAUUGGAGGGCGAAGAGGCUACCCACAAAUCCGAAUAACGGUUAAUCGCUCACGUGAAAACUUGUCCGAAUCAUCAUCUUCACCCUUUUCCGGCUUCUCUUAGCCACCCACCGGGUAAUCUCCCCGGUGAAGUCAACUGAGGUAGUGGCUCUCACUACCUUGGUUGACGCUAAAAGUUAUAUAUCAAUACAAAAUUGUUAAAACAAA
Molecule: long non-coding RNA, 2070 nt
Filed under: Daphnia magna
Lineage: Eukaryota; Metazoa; Arthropoda; Branchiopoda; Diplostraca; Daphniidae
Description: uncharacterized LOC116916814, transcript variant X2
Source: RNAcentral